Molecule: long non-coding RNA, 695 nt
Organism: Setaria italica (foxtail millet)
Lineage: Eukaryota; Viridiplantae; Streptophyta; Magnoliopsida; Poales; Poaceae
Exons: 2
Source: RefSeq, a predicted model, not a curated record
GCCUCCCCGCGCCUCCUCCACGCCGCCGCCCCUGCACGUCCACCACGCCGCCGGACCCCGCGCCUCCUCCACGCCGUCAGCUCGUGCACGUCCACCCCACCAGCCCCGCGCCUCCACCAUCGGACAACCGGCUCCGUCACCUAGCCCUCCAGGAUCUCCACUGCCCCGGAGCCGCUCGGGCACGCCGCUCUUAUUGGAGCUCGCCGGCUUGCUGUGCUGGAGCUGCUCGGGACGCUGCCCGCUCGACUCACCCGGCCUCCUCCACACAUGGACUUGUGAGCAAGCACCAGGAAAUUGGAAGGUGCACAUAUCACUAUUUUUCGCAAAAGGUUAUUCAGUGGUGAACUAGCUGCCACCAACUCCACCGCGGUGCUCGUGGAAUGGAAGGUUGUGUCCUGCUUUCCCGCAUCACCUUUCAGGAGUAUGAGUUGAAGCUGAAGCCUAUGGUUGCUGGUGUGCAGGGUGCUAGUGGCUUAGAGAUCAUCAGCCAGUAGCAUUUCUUGGUGUUAAUCUGAGACUGUUGGACAACAAUCCAAAUGAUAUUGCCAUGUACAUAAAUUUCAGUGAUGUUGCUGAUAUCAUGUUUUGCUAUCGUAGCAUCUGUUAUUUGAGAUGGAUAUUAUUGCCUUUCAUUACCUAGGACAAACACAAUAAAGGAAUUAUUCCAUAGUAAAAUAGCAUGGAAAUUGACAGAA